RNAcentral lists this ribosomal RNA (486 nucleotides) under uncultured bacterium. RNAcentral describes it as "partial 16S ribosomal RNA". It matches the Rfam family "Bacterial small subunit ribosomal RNA", at positions 28 to 507 of the family's 1533-position model. The record is from RNAcentral.
GACGAACGCUGGCGGCGUGCUUAACACAUGCAAGUCGAACGCUGAAGACCUGGCUUUUGUUGGGUUGGGUGAGUGGCGAACGGGUGAGUAACACGUGAGUAACCUGCCCUCUUCUUUGGGAUAACGCCCGGAAACGGGUGCUAAUACUGGAUAUUCACUGAUCUUCGCAUGGGGGUUGGUGGAAAGGGUUGUUCUGGUGGGGGAUGGGCUCGCGGCCUAUCAGCUGGUUGGUGGGGUGAUGGCCUACCAAGGCUUUGACGGGUAGCCGGCCUGGGAGGGUGACCGGGCACGUUGGGAGUGGGCUUCGGCCCAGACGCCUGCGGGAGGCAGCAGUGGGGGAUAUUGCACAAUGGGCGAGAGCCUGAGGCGGCGACGCCGCGUGAGGGAGGGGGGCCUGCGGGUUGGAAACCUCUUUCGCGCAUGGUCAAGCCGCAACUGUGGGUUGUGGUGAGGGUAGUGGGUAAAGAAGCGCCGGCUAACUACGUG